CCUACGGGUGGCAGCAGUGAGGGAUAUUGCACAAUGGAGGAAACCCUGAUGCAGCGACGCCGCGUGGGCGAAGAAGUAUUUCUGUGUGGAAAGCCCUAUCAGCAGGGAAGAAAAAAUGGAGAUACCUGAGUAAGAAGAACCGGCUAACGACGGGCGAGCAGCCACGGUAAUACGUGUGGUGCAAGCGUUAUCCGGAUUUAGUGGGUGUAAAGGGAGCGCAGGCGGUACGGGAAGCCGGAGGUGAAGGCCCGAGGCUCAACAUCGGGACUGCAUUUGGAACUGCCGGGCUGGAGAGUAGGAGAGGUAGGCGGAAUUCAUAGUGUAGCGGUGAAAUGCGUAGAUAUUAGGCGGAACACCAGUGGCGAAGGCGGCUUACCGGACGGCGACUGACGCUGAGGCUCGAAAGCGUGGGGAGCAAACAGGAUUAGAUACCCCGGUAGUC
Molecule: ribosomal RNA, 442 nt
Filed under: uncultured bacterium
Lineage: Bacteria
Description: partial 16S ribosomal RNA
Rfam family: Bacterial small subunit ribosomal RNA
Source: RNAcentral